RNAcentral lists this ribosomal RNA (1014 nucleotides) under Lichina intermedia. Its description in RNAcentral is "SSU rRNA". It matches the Rfam family "Eukaryotic small subunit ribosomal RNA", at positions 111 to 1133 of the family's 1831-position model. Lineage: Eukaryota; Fungi; Ascomycota; Lichinomycetes; Lichinales; Lichinaceae. The record is from RNAcentral.
UAUAGUUUAUUUGAUGGUUCCUCGCUACAUGGAUAACUGUGGUAAUUCUAGAGCUAAUACAUGCUGAAGGCCCCGACUCGCGAAGGGGCGUGUUUAUUAGACCAAAGACCAACGCCCUCCGGGGCUCGCUGGUGAAUCAUGAUAACCGCACGAAUCGCAUGGCCUUGCGCCGGCGAUGGUUCAUUCAAAUUUCUGCCCUAUCAGCUUUCGAUGGUAGGAUAGUGGCCUACCAUGGCGUCAACGGGUGACAGGCAAUUAGGGUUGGAUUCUGGAGAGGGGGCCUGAGAAAUGGCCACCACAUCCAAGGAAGGCAGCAGGCGCGCAAAUUACCCAAUCCCGACACGGGGAGGUAGUGACAAAACAUACUGAUGCAGGGCUCUUUUGGGUCUUGCAAUCGGAAUGGGUACAACCUAAAACCCUUAACGAGGAACAAUUGGAGGGCAAGUCUGGUGCCAGCAGCCGCGGUAAUUCCAGCUCCAAUAGCGUAUAUUAAAGUUGUUGCAGUUAAAAAGCUCGUAGUUGAACCUGGGGUCUGGUUGGCCGGUCCGCCUCACCGCGUGCACUGGACCGACCGGGCCUUUCCUCCCGGGGAACCGCAUGCCCUUUGCUGGGUGUGCUGGGGAUCCGGGACCUUUACCUUGAGAAAAUCAGAGUGUUCAAAGCAGGCCUAUGCUCGGAUGCGUUAGCAUGGAAUAAUAGAAUAGGACGUGCGGUCCUAUUUUGUUGGUCUCUGGGACCGCCGUAAUGAUUGAUAGGGAUGGUCGGGGGCGUCCGUAUUCCACUGUCAGAGGUGAAAUUCUUGGAUUUGUGGAAGACGAACUACUGCGAAAGCAUUCGCCAAGGAUGUUUUCAUUAAUCAGUGAACGAAAGUUAGGGGAUCGAAGACGAUCAGAUACCGUCGUAGUCUUAACCAUAAACAAUGCCGACUAGGGAUCGGGCGAUGUUACCUUUUUGACUCGCUCGGCACCUUACGAGAAAUCAAAGUGUUUGGGUUCUGGGGGGAGUAUGGUCGCA